AAGCACCGGUAAAACACAGCACUAUCCGGGCGGGGCCGCUAGGCUGGGCUUCCUUGUCCACUGGAGAUAAAAUAUUACAGCGUGCAGGGUCUUAAUGUGAGAGGAGACCAGAGUACCCAGAGAAAACCCACAUGGUCAGGCAGGUGAGCCCAUACCUUUUCCCGCCUGAUUGGGGAAUUGAACCCCGGCAGCCUUGGUGAAAGGCGAGUGUGUUAUCCACUGGGCCACCCGACCACCCAAACAAAGAGCAGUGUUAUUAAACAAUCAGGAAGUAAAUCAAACCUGUAAUGGCAGCUGAUUGGUCAGGAUAGAACCAAUGAGAUUAGUGGCAUCUCCCAGGGU
Molecule: long non-coding RNA, 342 nt
Organism: Mizuhopecten yessoensis (Yesso scallop)
Lineage: Eukaryota; Metazoa; Mollusca; Bivalvia; Pectinida; Pectinidae
Exons: 3
Source: RefSeq, a predicted model, not a curated record